Molecule: long non-coding RNA, 345 nt
Filed under: Homo sapiens (human)
Lineage: Eukaryota; Metazoa; Chordata; Mammalia; Primates; Hominidae
Description: HSALNT0123059
Source: RNAcentral
GAGAGACCACAACCCUUCAGAAGAAGGUGCGAAUCAGGGCCUGGUCCUGCAUGCAGUAAUUUGAAUAAAAAGAAAGGAGGAAAAUACUAGGUCAUAGAGAAGUUCCAGUAAGAAGAAAAUACUGCAUCAAAGAAGAAGCUAGGAAUACAGAAUUCAUUAUUUAACUGAGCUCACUUCUGCCUGCCACACCUUGUACAUACCUGGGCCGUACAACUCUGAAAUGAGGUGUGGCCCAGUGUUCCAGGAUGAGUCCAGGCAGAGACUUUUCCUGAACCCCUGUCAAAUUUGCUGCUCAAAAAGCUUGAGUUUAAGCCAAAUCCAAUAAAAGGAAAGAUUUCACUCACU